CCCCUCUCUUUAAAUAAGCGGAGGAAAAGAACCAACAGGGAUUGCCCUAGUAACGGCGAGUGAAGCGGCAACAGCUCAAAUUUGAAAUCUGGCGUCUUUGGCGUCCGAGUUGUAAUUUGCAGAGGGCGCUUUGGCAUUGGCAGCGGUCCAAGUUCCUUGGAACAGGACGUCACAGAGGGUGAGAAUCCCGUACGUGGUCGCUAGCCUUUACCGUGUAAAGCCCCUUCGACGAGUCGAGUUGUUUGGGAAUGCAGCUCUAAAUGGGAGGUAAAUUUCUUCUAAAGCUAAAUACUGGCCAGAGACCGAUAGCGCACAAGUAGAGUGAUCGAAAGAUGAAAAGCACUUUGGAAAGAGAGUUAAAAAGCACGUGAAAUUGUUGAAAGGGAAGCGCUUGCAGCCAGACUUGCCUGUAGUUGCUCAUCCGGGUUUCUACCCGGUGCACUCUUCUAUAGGCAGGCCAGCAUCAGUUUGGGCGGUUGGAUAAAGGUCUCUGUCAUGUACCUCCUUUCGGGGAGAACUUAUAGGGGAGACGACAUGCAACCAGCCCGGACUGAGGUCCGCGCAUCUGCUAGGAUGCUGGCGUAAUGGCUGUAAGCGGCCCGUCUUGAAACACGGACCAAGGAGUCUAACAUCUAUGCGAGUGUUUGGGUGUCAAGCCCGAGCGCGUAAUGAAAGUGAACGGAGGUGGGAACCUUUCGGGGUGCACCAUCGACCGAUCCUGAUGUCUUCGGAUGGAUUUGAGUAAGAGCAUAGCUGUUGGGACCCGAAAGAUGGUGAACUAUGCUUGAAUAGGGUGAAGCCAGAGGAAACUCUGGUGGAGGCUCGCAGCGGUUCUGACGUGCAAAUCGAUCGUCAAAUUUGGGCAUAGGGGCGAAAGACUAAUCGAACUAUCUAGUA
RNAcentral lists this ribosomal RNA (897 nucleotides) under Leptosphaerulina trifolii. Its description in RNAcentral is "partial large subunit ribosomal RNA". It matches the Rfam family "Eukaryotic large subunit ribosomal RNA", at positions 25 to 949 of the family's 3401-position model. Lineage: Eukaryota; Fungi; Ascomycota; Dothideomycetes; Pleosporales; Didymellaceae. The record is from RNAcentral.